RNAcentral lists this transfer RNA (73 nucleotides) under Mrakia frigida. RNAcentral describes it as "tRNA-Asn (GTT) (tRNA-Asn-GTT-2 1 to 3)". It matches the Rfam family "tRNA". From Rfam's summary of the family: Transfer RNA (tRNA) molecules are approximately 80 nucleotides in length. The record is from RNAcentral. Lineage: Eukaryota; Fungi; Basidiomycota; Tremellomycetes; Cystofilobasidiales; Mrakiaceae.
UCCUGGGUGGCUCAGUUGGUAGCGCGUAAGACUGUUAAUCUUAAGGUCCAUGGUUCGAGCCCAUGUCUAGGAG